UACGUAGGGUGCAAGCGUUGUCCGGAAUUAUUGGGCGUAAAGAGCUCGUAGGCGGUCUGUUGCGUCGGCUGUGAAAACCCGAGGCUCAACCUCGGGCCUGCAGCCGAUACGGGCAGACUAGAGUUCGGCAGGGGAGACUGGAAUUCCUGGUGUAGCGGUGAAAUGCGCAGAUAUCAGGAGGAACACCGGUGGCGAAGGCGGGUCUCUGGGCCGAUACUGACGCUGAGGAGCGAAAGCGUGGGGAGCGGACAGG
This 253-nucleotide ribosomal RNA is filed under the name uncultured bacterium. RNAcentral's name for it is "partial 16S ribosomal RNA". It matches the Rfam family "Bacterial small subunit ribosomal RNA", at positions 524 to 776 of the family's 1533-position model. The record is from RNAcentral.